Molecule: unclassified non-coding RNA, 264 nt
Filed under: Hevea brasiliensis (rubber tree)
Lineage: Eukaryota; Viridiplantae; Streptophyta; Magnoliopsida; Malpighiales; Euphorbiaceae
Source: RNAcentral
UUAUUUUUCGUUUGUAAUUAGAUAAUUAUUUCACUCAAGACUUUUUUUUCUAUCAUUGUGGCUUUUUUCCCCCCAUUGAUGAUCUUAUGUUGAACUUCAAAACCUUCAAACGGUGGUCUCUGAAAUGAUAGUUCUUGACAUGCCCAGUAGUAAUUAUUGAAAUUAUGACCUUGUGGCCAUUUACAGGUACUGGAUGAUACGUUCGCAUCACAGAUGCAGCAGCUACUUGGGAAUGCGCUGCUACAAGAGAAAGAUCUUGAGCCA